This 76-nucleotide transfer RNA is filed under the name candidate division WWE3 bacterium CG08_land_8_20_14_0_20_40_13. RNAcentral's name for it is "tRNA-Thr". It matches the Rfam family "tRNA". Rfam says of the family: Transfer RNA (tRNA) molecules are approximately 80 nucleotides in length. Their secondary structure includes four short double-helical elements and three loops (D, anti-codon, and T loops). Lineage: Bacteria; candidate division WWE3. The record is from RNAcentral.
GCCGUUUUAGCUCAGUUGGCAGAGCGAUCCCUUCGUAAGGGAUAGGUCCCGAGUUCGACCCUCGGAAACGGCUCCA